CGCUGGCGGCGUGCUUAACACAUGCAAGUCGAACGGGAUCCAUCAGGCUUUGCUUGGUGGUGAGAGUGGCGAACGGGUGAGUAAUGCGUGACCGACCUGCCCCAUACACCGGAAUAGCUCCUGGAAACGGGUGGUAAUGCCGGAUGCUCCGACUCCUCGCAUGGGGUGUCGGGAAAGAUUUCAUCGGUAUGGGAUGGGGUCGCGUCCUAUCAGGUAGUCGGCGGGGUAACGGCCCACCGAGCCUACGACGGGUAGCCGGCCUGAGAGGGCGACCGGCCACAUUGGGACUGAGAUACGGCCCAGACUCCUACGGGAGGCAGCAGUGGGGAAUAUUGCACAAUGGGCGCAAGCCUGAUGCAGCGACGCCGCGUGCGGGAUGACGGCCUUCGGGUGUAAACCGCUUUUGAUCGGGAGCAAGCCUUCGGGUGAGUGUACCUUUCGAAUAAGCACCGGCUAACUACGUGCCAGCAGCCGCGG
This 477-nucleotide ribosomal RNA is filed under the name Bifidobacterium pseudocatenulatum. RNAcentral's name for it is "bacterial SSU rRNA". It matches the Rfam family "Bacterial small subunit ribosomal RNA", at positions 34 to 520 of the family's 1533-position model. Lineage: Bacteria; Bacillati; Actinomycetota; Actinomycetes; Bifidobacteriales; Bifidobacteriaceae. The record is from RNAcentral.